UGGUGGUUAUGAGGCUGGGGGCUCUGAAAUGCCAGAAGCACGGCCCCUGGUGUGAGAGGAGAGGACAGGAGGAGGUGGGGUUCCAGAGUAGCAGAGACACUAAACAGGGAGAUCCUCCCAGGGCUGAGCCGAGCACACCUGCUGGUCACCAAAUGCCCAGGGUUGGGCAUCAGAGACAGCCUCAUAUGGGCCAGAGCUCCUUAGCUCUGUGUCACAAUGCCGAGGUGUCUUUCAUUAUCUCAGGGGCCAUUGUGAAAACAUCUGUGUGCCAGGAAGCCCUGCUGAGAAGGUGGAAGUAGGCGUCACAAAGUCAGAAAUACUGAUGGGUUUGGUUCCACUCUGGAGAGGCAGGUUGUAGGGGAUGGAUCUGGAUACUGAUUCUGGCUGCAGGACCAGCAUGCCAGGGCCUUCAGAAUCCUCCAAUGGCUCAUGGAGAUGGACAUAAAACUCCCAGCUGGGAUCCCUCUGGGCCAGUUAUGUGCUCCAUCCUCAGCAUGAAAAAUUGAGAGAGGUUGCCUAGGUUCCUUUGCACUCCACCUCACCGCUGCUUGAGGGCUUGGGCUCU
Molecule: long non-coding RNA, 565 nt
Filed under: Homo sapiens (human)
Lineage: Eukaryota; Metazoa; Chordata; Mammalia; Primates; Hominidae
Description: HSALNT0029298
Source: RNAcentral